RNAcentral lists this ribosomal RNA (283 nucleotides) under uncultured bacterium. RNAcentral describes it as "partial 16S ribosomal RNA". It matches the Rfam family "Bacterial small subunit ribosomal RNA", at positions 335 to 611 of the family's 1533-position model. The record is from RNAcentral.
UCCCUACGGGAGGCAGCAGUGGGGGAUACUGCACAAUGGGGGGAACCCUGAUGCAGCGACGCCGCGUGAGGGAUGAAGGUCUUCGGAUCGUAAACCUCUGUCAGCAGGGAAGAACGGUCACUGUGCUAAUCGGCAGUGAAUUGACGGUACCUGCAAAGGAAGCACCGGCUAACUCCGUGCCAGCAGCCGCGGUAAUACGGAGGGUGCGAGCGUUAAUCGGAAUUACUGGGCGUAAAGCGCUCGUAGGCGGUAUGUCAAGUCAAGGGUGAAAUCCCCGCGCUCA